UCACCCACACAGGAUGGAACUGCUACAC
This 28-nucleotide non-coding RNA is filed under the name Rattus norvegicus (Norway rat). The record is from RNAcentral. Lineage: Eukaryota; Metazoa; Chordata; Mammalia; Rodentia; Muridae.